RNAcentral lists this ribosomal RNA (594 nucleotides) under Ammonia sp. genotype T1. RNAcentral describes it as "bacterial SSU rRNA". The stretch from base 1 to 464 matches the Rfam family "Eukaryotic small subunit ribosomal RNA", at positions 1220 to 1501 of the family's 1831-position model. The record is from RNAcentral. Lineage: Eukaryota; Foraminifera; Rotaliida; Rotaliidae.
GGGUCCGGACACACUGAGGAUUGACAGAUAUACGUCGUGCGUUGAGCUCUCUCGGGGGCCGAGCGCAUGACUGAAAGAUGCUAGUUCUUUCAUGAUUAUGUGAUAGGUGGUGCAUGGCCGUUCUUAGUUCGUGGAGUGAUCUGUCUGCUUAAUUGCGUAUCAUAAAAAGAGACCUAGUAUACGCGUAAGAUAUCGUUUACGGUUCGUGACCCCCUUCGGGCGUGUGUCGCACGUACGUAUCAUACGCACUGGUCUCCGAUAGCAACGAACGUGACCGUACUCUAUUGUUGCAGCGAAUGUAUGCAUCUUCGGGUGUAUCUACCGCUGCUUAGUGCGUAUGCGUACUUCGGUGCGUGUCGUACAUUAAACUAUAGAGACCGCUGUAUUCUUUUUAAACCAGAGGAAGGAUACGGCAAUAACAGGUCUGUGAUGCCCUCAGAUGUUCCGGGCUGCACACGUGCUACAAUGAUCAUUGCACUGUGCAUCUAACCCAAUGUGCGUGGACGCCACGGUAUGUAUUUAUGCUUCGGCGUAGUAUAUAUCAGUUGGUCGGCCGCGCCGAACCUACUUCGAAAGUAAAAUUUCUCAGUGGGU